Molecule: non-coding RNA, 96 nt
Organism: Echria macrotheca
Lineage: Eukaryota; Fungi; Ascomycota; Sordariomycetes; Sordariales; Schizotheciaceae
Source: the annotation of a GenBank genome assembly
GCCCACGUAGCACAAUUGGUCAGUGCGUCAGACUUUUAAACCACGAUUUAAAGUGGAGACAUCUGAAUGUUGCGAGUUCGAGUCUCGUCGCGGGCG